RNAcentral lists this long non-coding RNA (4808 nucleotides) under Phaseolus vulgaris (common bean). Its description in RNAcentral is "long non-coding RNA (PVUL_LNC005108)". The record is from RNAcentral. Lineage: Eukaryota; Viridiplantae; Streptophyta; Magnoliopsida; Fabales; Fabaceae.
UGAAGUCUCACUUAGAGUUAUGUUGUGGGUUGUUUUGGAAGAGUGCGAAAGGUGCGAGCUUCUUUCCUAGUUGUGAGGGUGGUAGGGUAGAGGGGGCUUUGGUCCAUGAUAUGGUUUGAGGAGAGAUAUGUUAAAUACUGGGUGAACCUUAGAAUUUGGUGGGAGAGCUAGUUCAUAAGCCACUUCAGUAAUGCUUUUGGUAAUAAGGUAUGGGCCAUAGAAUUUUCGGGUAAGCUAGUGGUGAGGGGAGCCGAUGAGGGAUGUUUGGCGGUAAGCCUGUCGACGGAGGAGUACCCAAUUGCUGAUUGUGAAGACGUGAUGACGUCGUCCGGUGUUCGCUGUCUUGGCCAUGCGUUGUUGUGACAACGCCAAAUUAGUCUUCAACUGGCGCAAAAUUUGUGUUCGCUUUUGGAGGGUGGUGUCCAGAUUGGGUUCCGAUGCAGUGUCGGAUACAUAAUCUAGGAUGGAUGGUGGUGGUCUUUCAUAGAGCGCUUGGAACGGGGUUGUUUUGAUGGCCGAAUGGUAAGAAGAAUUGUACCAAAACUUGGCGGGGUGCAAGUAUUUGUACCAACAUCGCAGAUUGUCAUUGGUGAAACAAUGAAGGUAUAUCUCCAAACAUCUAUUAAUAACCUCGGUUUGACCUUCGGUUUGAGGGUGAUAAGUCGUACUAAACUUCAGUUUUGUUCCUUGUAGGUGAAAAAGCUCCUCCAAGAAGUUACUGAGGAAGAGCGGGUCUCGAUCUGAGAUUAUGGAUUUUGGAAUGCCAUGCAAUCUGCAGAGCUCCACAGGGAAACGGUUGGCUAGUUGGGAGGUGGUGAAGGAUGUGGAGAGGGCUAUGAAAUGAGCAGAUUUUGAAAGUCGGUCAUAGACCACCCAAAUAAUUGUAUGGUCGAAAGAUGAUGGUAAGUGAGUGAUAAAAUCAGUUGUUAGUUCAUCCCAGAUUUUGGUUGAGAGGAGGGGGGGGGGUUGGGUUGUAAUAAUUCUAAGGGUUUUUUGUUAAUGGGUUUAUUCUGUUGGGAGGGAAGGCACUCUAUGAUGAAAGUUUUUGUGUCCUUGUACAUACUUGGCCAAUAGAAAGAGGCAGCUAAAUGAGCUAGAUUGGCUUUGAGACUGAAAUACCCUACGAAUGGGGUUGCAUGAAACUCGUGAAGAAUGGGUGGGCGAAGAUUGGUUGUUGAUGGAACGUAGAGUCUCUGGCCGUGGUACAGUAAGUCAUUGUGAAAAUUGAAAUUUGAGUUGGAAAUACCUAUCAAUUUGUUUUUUUCUUGUUGUCCAGUUGUUGUCUGAUAAUACUUUUUUAAUUUUGUGAUGAUCUCUGGUACUGGGGUGGAGAUGGCUAAGAAAAAUGAGGACGGUGGCUUGGAGAGGAAAUCAGCAGCUUGGUUGUGACGUCCAUGCUAAUAAAGGAUAUCAAAACUAUACCCAAUAAGUCGUGAAGCUCAUUUUUGUUGCUUCGACGUAUGCCAAACGCUGAUAAGUAAUCCCCUUAAACUUUGUUGGUAUGUGAUAAUUUGAAAGUGAUUGCCAAUGAGAUAGUGUCUCCAUUUCUUAACAGAUUCAUUAAUGUCUAGCAUCUCUUUAACAUAAACUGAACUGCUUUGUUUCCUGGACAGAGCUUCUUAUUGAAGAAGGCAAUAGGGUGCCUUGCUUGAUAUAAAACGAAGCAUCCGUUUCCACUACAAAAGGGAUGGUGAAAUCAGGGAGGUGCAAGAUAGAGGGUGUAGUUAGGAUAUUUUUGAUCUGUAAGAAGGAUGUGUUGGCAUUGUGAUUCCAUGUAAAAACUUUCAAUUUUAGUAAAUUCGUGAGUGGAGAGGCAAGAGUGGCAUAACCGCGGAUGAACUUCCGGUAAAACCCCAUAAUGCCCAAAAACGCACGCACCGUAGUGAAUGAUUUGGGCUCGAGCUACUGUAGAAUAGCUUGAAUCUUUUCUGGAUCCGGGGAAACCGUUCCCCGUUGAAUGAUAUGCCCAAUUAGGUAAUUGUAGGGGCUGAAAAAUUUAACUUUGAUUCUUUAAUAAAAAACUUAUGAGUCUGAAGUAAUUGGAGAACAAUGUUGAGAUGUUGAAUGUGGUCUGUCAUGGAUGUAUUGUAGAUUAAGAUGUCAUUAAAGAAAACUAGUACAAAACGUCUUAGGUAUGGUUGAAGGAGGUCAUUCUUGCAGCUUGAAAGGUAGACGGAGCAUUAGAUAAGCCAAAUGGCAUAACUAAAAACUCAUAAUGACCAUCAAAGGUCCGAAAAGUUGUCUUGUGGAAAUCUGUGGGGUGUACACGUAUUUGGUGAUAGCCAGAUCUUAGGUCAAUCUUAGAGUUAAUUCAUCUAAGAGUUCCUCAAUCGUGGGGACAAGAAAUCUAUCCUUCAUCGUGAUAACAUUUAAGGCCCUGUAAUCCACAUAAAAUCUCUAUGAUUCAUCUCUCCUUUUUUUUAUGAGUAUGAUUGCGGAGGAAAAGGGGCUAGUACUUGGGCGUAUGAUGCCCACAUACAACAUUUCUUGAAUGAGAGAAGUCAUAAUGUGUUUAUGGGUGUGGGGAUAGUGGUAAGGUUUGAUAUUUAUGUGGGUGGAGUUUGGGAUCAAAGGAAUGUGAUGGUUCUGGGGGCAAUGGGGAGGUAAACCGUGAGGAGGUGAGAAAAAUGAAUGGUAUGUGUGGAGUAGGUUUUGAAUCUCGGGGUGUAUAUCUGGUGGGGAAGGGUUGGAGCAUGGUAAGGGAUCCGGUUGAAAGGUGAGCAAAUGAAGUGAUGUUAUGGCUUUGGUAUGUAGGAGGUGACAAAUAUUGGUGACGAAAGCGUGUGUGUCCAAGAGUUUGUUGGUUCCAACUAGGGUUAUGAGGGUGCUCUAAUGAUGGAAAAAAGAGUUGUGGUGUAGAGAAAUCUACUUGUAGGGGUCCGAGGUAGCGCAACCAGUCCAUUCUUAGGACUACAUCUGCAUCUUCAAUUGGAAUGAAGUAAAGUGAGAUGGAAAAACAAUGGUUUUGUAUAGAAACAGUAAUUGUAGGCUUGGGAUGCAUGCAAUGAAUUUUCUUGCCGUUUCCAACCAUGAUGGAAAAUGGUUUAAUUGGAAGGGUGCAAAGGUUGAGGUGAUGAGCUAGGCGAGGUUGGAGGAUAUUAUGUGAGCUCCCUGUGUCUAUUAAAAUGGUAACGAGUGUAUGCUGAAUAAACCCCUGAAGUUUGAAGGUGUGGGCCGAGGGGGUUCCAAAUAAGGUAUGGAGAGAUAGGUGUACUGGAUUAGGUUCCUCAGUGUCAAAGAUAGUAUCUAAGGUAGAGAAGGUUUCUGGGUGGGCUUCUGGUGUAGGUUCUUCAUUGAGUAGCAAUAAGAAACGUUUGUUGAGACAUUUGUGACUAGGAAAAAAAAAUCGUCACAAUUGUAACAUAAGUCGAUUGCUCGAUGUUCUUGUAACUGGGUGGAUGAAAGUUUUGUUAUAGGUAGAUAAGUGGGUGUGGUGGUUGUUGUCUGAGGUUGGAAAGGAGGACGUGGUGGUGGUAAUAGAUGUGGGGAUGUUUGUGGAAUUAUAGGGUUGCAGUUAUACUUCCUUAAAUCAUGGAUUUUAGAUUCCAAGAGUUUCGCAAGGCCCAUGGCUUGGGUGAUUGAGGUAGGUUGAAGAAUAAUUAUCUCUCUUUUUAUUUUUGGGACCAAACCAGAAAUGAAACAAUUGAGGAUCAUCUUGGGUGUGAGGCCCAAGACUCGAUUGCAUAGUUUUCAAAAGAUUUUUUUGUACUUAGUGACUGUGCUAUUCUGGCAGAGUUUGAACAAUUAUGCUUGAUGGUUGGCGUAAGUUGAGGGACCAAAUCAAAGCUCUAAGGCACGACUGAAUGAGAGUCAGUCACUUAGUUGAUGAUUUUGGUACAUCCAUUUAAAUCAACUAAGAGCAUCUUCGUGCAUAUAGAAAGUUGUCAUGUGUAAGCGAGACUCCCAAGUAAUAUUGUAAAAUUGGAAAAACUGGUCGUCCUGAAAAAGCCAAUCGAGCGGAUCAGACCCAUCAAAGAAAGAUAAUUGGAUUUUUGGGGGACGGGGUAGGGUAGGAACCAUCGGAGGUGGAGCAGUGAGGGGGGGACAACAAAUAUUGUUGUGGUAAAGAUGGAUGAGGCAGUAUGAGAAUUUAGGGGUGAGGGUGAGACAGGGGGUAUGUUUGGAACAGAGAAUGGGGUAGAAGAGCUAUUUGUUUCAUUUGGGAAAACUAACGUGGGUGAUAUAGAUGUUAAGAUGUUAUGGAGGGUGUGAGUGACGACCUCUUGUUUGGAGUCCAAUCUUUUUAACGAGAUUCUAGAGUGUGGUGUAAGGUAUUAUAACGGGUUUCGUGAUGGUCAUGGGUUUGUUGGAUUUGGGUUUCGAGGUGGGUUAGUUUGUCUAAAAUGGUUUGGAGGAUUUCUUCUAAAUCUUAUUUUGAUUUGGGAGGCAUGAAGAUAGGUUCCUCGUUAUGGAUCUAGUUCAGUGGAUUCUGAGACUAAACUAGCAGAUCGAUAUGGUACCUGCGAAGAUGUUUUUUGGCACUGGAAAUUUUCCGGUCACACUGCACAUUGUUGGGCUUGCCUGAAGCACAGUGAGAAACUGUGGUAUUGAGCUGGGUUGGACUGGUCAGAUGUGGAAAUAAUAUUGCGCUUUGGACUAGCGAGUGUUGGGCCGGGGCGGGUCUCCUUAUUGUGUGAAUGGUUGCACUUUGGCACAAUAGGUUUAGCAUAUCUUUUCCUCUAUGAACGAGAAUCGUGUAUCUUUUCCUCCAUUUGCCUAAUUACUACCGAUUAAUUAUAUCAGAGUUUAUUAUUAACAAAAUUGUUUGUAUUGGAGGUUACUGGUUCAUUCGCCCUAGUUGAUGAAAU